AUUGAACGCUGCGGCAGGCUUAACACAUGCAAGUCGAGCGAGCGGCGGACGGGUGAGGAAUGCUUAGGAAUCUGCAUAUUAGUGGGGGACAACAUCCCGAAAGGGAAGCUAAUACCGCAUACUAAUAGAUGAGACUAGUCGGUUUAGCUAGUUGGGUGGGUAAAGGCCUACCAAGGCGACGAUCUGUAGCGGGUCGGAGAGGAUGAACCGCCACACUGGGACUGAUACACGGCCCAGACUCCUACGGGAGGCAGCAGUGUGGAAUAUGGCCAAUGGGGGGAACCCUGAUCCAGCCAUGCCGCGUGUGUGAAGAAGGCCUUCGGGUUGUAAAGCACUUUCAGCGUGGAGGCGUUACCCGCAGAAGAAGCACCGGCUAACUCCGUGCCAGCAGCCGCGGUAAUUC
RNAcentral lists this ribosomal RNA (403 nucleotides) under uncultured bacterium. RNAcentral describes it as "partial 16S ribosomal RNA". It matches the Rfam family "Bacterial small subunit ribosomal RNA", at positions 30 to 526 of the family's 1533-position model. The record is from RNAcentral.